AGAGUUUGAUCCUGGCUCAGGACGAACGCUGGCGGCGUGCUUAACACAUGCAAGUCGAACGAGAAAGCCCUUCGGGGUGAGUACAGUGGCGAACGGGUGAGUAACACGUGGGCAACCUGCCCCGGAGAGCGGGACAACCCGAGGAAACUCGGGCUAAUACCGCAUGAUGCGUCUCCACUUAAGUGGAGCCGCCAAAUGGUAGCUUCGGCCUCCGCUCUGGGAUGGGCCCGCGCCGGAUUAGCUAGUUGGUUGGGGUAAUGGCCCACCAAGGCGACGAUCCGUAGCUGGUCUGAGAGGACGAUCAGCCACACUGGGACUGAGACACGGCCCAGACUCCUACGGGAGGCAGCAGUGGGGAAUCUUGCGCAAUGGGCGAAAGCCUGACGCAGCAACGCCGCGUGCAGGAUGACAGCCUUCGUGGUUGUAAACUGCUUUCGGCAGGGACGAAAAUGACGGUACCUGCAGAAGAAGCUCCGGCUAACUACGUGCCAGCAGCCGCGGUAACACGUAGGGGGCGAGCGUUGUCCGGAUUCAUUGGGCGUAAAGAGCUCGUAGGUGGUUCAGUAAGUCGGGUGUGAAAGCUCCGAGCUCAACUCGGAGAGGCCACCCGAUACUGCUGUGACUCGAGUCCGGUAGAGGAGCGUGGAACUCCUGGUGUAGCGGUGAAAUGCGCAGAUAUCAGGAAGAACACCCGUAGCGAAGGCGGCGCUCUGGGCCGGUACUGACGCUGAGGAGCGAAAGCGUGGGUAGCAAACAGGAUUAGAUACCCUGGUAGUCCACGCCGUAAACGUUGGGCACUAGGUGUGGGGAGGAGUCAACCCUUUCCGUGCCGUAGCUAACGCAUUAAGUGCCCCGCCUGGGGAGUACGGCCGCAAGGCUAAAACUCAAAGGAAUUGACGG
Molecule: ribosomal RNA, 900 nt
Filed under: uncultured bacterium
Lineage: Bacteria
Description: bacterial SSU rRNA
Rfam family: Bacterial small subunit ribosomal RNA
Source: RNAcentral